Molecule: ribosomal RNA, 492 nt
Filed under: uncultured bacterium
Lineage: Bacteria
Description: partial 16S ribosomal RNA
Rfam family: Bacterial small subunit ribosomal RNA
Source: RNAcentral
AGUGAACGCUGGCGGUAGGCCUAACACAUGCAAGUCGAACGGCAGCACAGUAAGAGCUUGCUCUUACGGGUGGCGAGUGGCGGACGGGUGAGGAAUACAUCGGAAUCUACUUUUUCGUGGGGGAUAACGUAGGGAAACUUACGCUAAUACCGCAUACGACCUACGGGUGAAAGCAGGGGAUCUUCGGACCUUGCGCGAUUGAAUGAGCCGAUGUCGGAUUAGUUAGUUGGCGGGGUAAAGGCCCACCAAGGCGACGAUCCGUAGCUGGUCUGAGAGGAUGAUCGGCCACACGGGAACUGGGACACGGUCCAGACUCCUACGGGAGGCAGCAGUGGGGAAUAUUGGACAAUGGGCGCAAGCCUGAUCCAGCCAUACCGCGUGGGUGAAGAAGGCCUUCGGGUUGUAAAGCCCUUUUGUUGGGAAAGAAAAGCAGCAGGUUAAUACCCCGCUGUUCUGACGGUACCCAAAGAAUAAGCACCGGCUAACUUCGUG